UACGGAGGGUGCAAGCGUUAAUCGGAAUUACUGGGCGUAAAGGGUGCGUAGGUGGUGAUAUAAGUUAUCUGUGAAAUCCCCGGGCUCAACCUGGGCAGGUCAGAUAAGACUGUAACACUCGAGUAUGGGAGAGGGUAGUGGAAUUUCCGGUGUAGCGGUGAAAUGCGUAGAGAUCGGAAGGAACACCAGUGGCGAAGGCGGCUACCUGGCCCAAUACUGACACUGAGGCACGAAAGCGUGGGGAGCAAAC
Molecule: ribosomal RNA, 250 nt
Filed under: uncultured bacterium
Lineage: Bacteria
Description: partial 16S ribosomal RNA
Rfam family: Bacterial small subunit ribosomal RNA
Source: RNAcentral